GACGAACGCUGGCGGCGUGCUUAACACAUGCAAGUCGAACGGACAGGCCCUGCUUUUGCGGGGUGCUCGAGUGGCGAACGGGUGAGUAACACGUGUGUAACCUGCCCUUGACUUUGGGAUAUCUUCUGGAAACUGGGGCUAUUAUCGGAUAGGAGCUCCUGCUGCAUGUUGGGGGUUGGAAAGUUUCGGCGGUUGGGGAUGGACUCGCUGCUUAUCCGCUUGUUGGUGUGGUAGUGGCUUACCAAGGCUUUGACGGGUAGCCGGCCUGAGAGGGUGACCGGCCACAUUGGGACUGAGAUACGGCCCAGACUCCUACGGGAGGCAGCAGGGGGGAAUAUUGCACAAUGGGCGGAAGCCUGAUGCAGCAACGCCGCGUGCGGGAUGACGGGCUUCGGGUUGUAAACCGCUUUCGCCUGUGACGAAGCGGGAGUGACGGUAAUGGGUAAAGAAGCACCGGCUAACUACGUG
RNAcentral lists this ribosomal RNA (468 nucleotides) under uncultured bacterium. Its description in RNAcentral is "partial 16S ribosomal RNA". It matches the Rfam family "Bacterial small subunit ribosomal RNA", at positions 28 to 507 of the family's 1533-position model. The record is from RNAcentral.